UAGUUUCUAAGAAUGUAGGAGAGAAAAACAUAUAGAUGAUCAUUGGGGUAUGUGUAUUUAUAGAACUCAAUUUCUUAAUCACAGUUUUUCAGCAAUGUAUACAUGAAGCUCAAUAAAUUUUUUAAAUAUUAAAAUAAAGUCAUAUAUUUUAAAAGUAUUUACUUGCAAUCAAGAUCAUCGUAAGACACAUCAUUUGAAUCAAAAUUAGUACACUUUGAAGAUAAGAAAUGAUAUGUUUCGGAUGCGUAUCGGAGCAAUCAACCAAAGGCAUCAGAAUUAAUUCUGUUUUUCUUACAUUAAGAUUUUAUUUAGAAAUCAUAUUGAGUCUAAGCUUGUAUACAAAAUCAGAUUCUGAAUUACAUAGGAUUUUCAAUUGAGGUUUUCAAAAUCAUAAUUUGAGAUAUAUAUCUUCCACGUUAUAGCUCAUCUUAAAUCAUUAAGAUUGAAAACGCAUAUUUCAAUAACAUUAGAGCACUUUCAGAAUCUUUGUAUUUAAUUUUGAGUUUUGAUACAAAAUGGAGGAUAUUUUAACAAGUAUUAGGAUAUUAUGUAUCAAAGUUAGGCAAGUAGAAAGAUAGAUCAAGAUUAA
This 589-nucleotide long non-coding RNA is filed under the name Phoenix dactylifera (date palm). RNAcentral's name for it is "long non-coding RNA (PDAC_LNC020076)". Lineage: Eukaryota; Viridiplantae; Streptophyta; Magnoliopsida; Arecales; Arecaceae. The record is from RNAcentral.